UACGAAGGGGGGCUAGCGUUGCUCGGAAUUACUGGGCGUAAAGGGAGCGUAGGCGGAUAGUUAAGUCAGAGGUGAAAGCCCAGGGCUCAACCUUGGAAUUGCCUUUGAUACUGGCUAUCUUGAGUAUGGGAGAGGUAAGCGGAACUCCGAGUGUAGAGGCGAAAUUCGUAGAUAUUCGGAAGAACACCAGUGGCGAAGGCGGCUUACUGGCCCAUUACUGACGCUGAGGCUCGAAAGCGUGGGGAGCAAACAGG
This 254-nucleotide ribosomal RNA is filed under the name uncultured bacterium. RNAcentral describes it as "partial 16S ribosomal RNA". It matches the Rfam family "Bacterial small subunit ribosomal RNA", at positions 524 to 776 of the family's 1533-position model. The record is from RNAcentral.